GGGGUCGACUGGUUUUGACAGCAAGUGGCACUAAUUAGUAAGCAUGUCGAGCAUUGUAUUUUUGGCUCGUUAAUAUCAAUGAUACACACUUUUUAAACGGCGAAAAUACUUACGCUUUAGCUGCAUAAUCCGAAUUAUAGUACGAUAAUGCCAUGUCCCAACCAGGUUGGGAAGCUGGAUUUCUCUCAAAAGCCUUGGUUUGUGGCGGUUGAUUAAGAGGAAUGGUAAAAAUAAACCUAGGAAUGGUAAAACUUUAAAUCCACUCUGACAUUCAUAAAGUUAAGCAAAUAGUGGCUGUUUUUGGCCAAGCUAUUUUGUCGAAAAUCUAAACAAAAACUAAACAUGUAGAACGCUUUUUGAUGGCUUGUUUGGACGAGAGUUCGAUUCUCUCCGACUCCAC
This 400-nucleotide transfer-messenger RNA is filed under the name Bacteroidia bacterium. It matches the Rfam family "transfer-messenger RNA". From Rfam's summary of the family: Bacterial tmRNA, also known as 10Sa RNA or SsrA, is named for its dual tRNA and mRNA-like properties. Its role is to liberate the mRNA from a stalled ribosome. The record is from RNAcentral. Lineage: Bacteria; Pseudomonadati; Bacteroidota; Bacteroidia.